UGAGAUGGCCUCGCGUCCGAUUAGCUAGUUGGUGAGGUAACGGCCCACCAAGGCGACGAUCGGUAGCCGGACUGAGAGGUUGAACGGCCACAUUGGGACUGAGACACGGCCCAGACUCCUACGGGAGGCAGCAGUGGGGAAUAUUGCACAAUGGGGGAAACCCUGAUGCAGCGACGCCGCGUGGAGGAAGAAGGUCUUCGGAUUGUAAACUCCUGUUGUUGGGGAAAAGAAGGAUGGUACCCAACAAGGAAGUGACGGCUAACUACGUGCCAGCAGCCGCGGUAAAACGUAGGUCACGAGCGUUGUCCGGAAUUACUGGGUGUAAAGGGAGCGCAGGCGGGUAUGCAAGUUGGGAGUGAAAUGCAUGGGCUCAACCCAUGAACUGCUCUCAAAACUGUGUAUCUUGAGUAGUGCAGAGGUAGGCGGAAUUCCCGGUGUAGCGGUGGAAUGCGUAGAUAUCGGGAGGAACACCAGUGGCGAAGGCGGCCUACUGGGCACCAACUGACGCUGAGGCUCGAAAGUGUGGGGAGCAAACAGGAUUAGAUACCCUGGUAGUCCACGCCGUAAACGAUGACUGCUAGGUGUCGGGGAGCAAAGCUCUUCGGUGCCGCAGCUAACGCAAUAAGC
RNAcentral lists this ribosomal RNA (627 nucleotides) under uncultured bacterium. RNAcentral describes it as "bacterial SSU rRNA". It matches the Rfam family "Bacterial small subunit ribosomal RNA", at positions 221 to 865 of the family's 1533-position model. The record is from RNAcentral.